RNAcentral lists this small RNA (7172 nucleotides) under Pan troglodytes (chimpanzee). RNAcentral's name for it is "retained intron". Lineage: Eukaryota; Metazoa; Chordata; Mammalia; Primates; Hominidae. The record is from RNAcentral.
GGGUCUGUGGAUUUCUAGUUUAUGAUAAAUAGGACUUUAAAAACCAGGGACGGGAGGGCGAGUGUUCAGGUUCUAGAGCUAUGCAGCUGGAGCACUGCCUUUCUCCUUCUAUCAUGCUCUCCAAGAAAUUUCUCAAUGUGAGCAGCAGCUACCCACAUUCAGGCGGAUCCGAGCUUGUCUUGCACGAUCAUCCCAUUAUCUCGACCACUGACAACCUGGAGAGAAGUUCACCUUUGAAAAAAAUUACCAGGGGGAUGACGAAUCAGUCAGAUACAGACAAUUUUCCUGACUCCAAGGACUCACCAGGGGACGUCCAGAGAAGUAAACUCUCUCCUGUCUUGGACGGGGUCUCUGAGCUUCGUCACAGUUUCGAUGGCUCUGCUGCAGAUCGCUACCUCCUCUCUCAGUCCAGCCAGCCACAGUCUGCGGCCACUGCUCCCAGUGCCAUGUUCCCGUACCCCGGCCAGCACGGACCGGCGCACCCCGCCUUCUCCAUCGGCAGCCCUAGCCGCUACAUGGCCCACCACCCGGUCAUCACCAACGGAGCCUACAACAGCCUCCUGUCCAACUCCUCGCCGCAGGGAUACCCCACGGCCGGCUACCCCUACCCACAGCAGUACGGCCACUCCUACCAAGGAGCUCCGUUCUACCAGUUCUCCUCCACCCAGCCGGGGCUGGUGCCCGGCAAAGCACAGGUGUACCUGUGCAACAGGCCCCUUUGGCUGAAAUUUCACCGGCACCAAACGGAGAUGAUCAUCACCAAACAGGGAAGGUAAUACAACAUUUUUGGCUGCCGCUGCUCUAGGCGCAGCCGGGGACAAGUGCACCUAGGCUGUGACUGCCGCGGCAGCGACGAUUUGGGGUCGGGAGCGGAGUGGAAGGCGCCCUAGAGUUGGCUAGUUUUGGAAAGGGGGAAAGUGGAAGGGAUAACCGCCACGGUGAUGUUGGUGGGGAGGACCCCGUUCUAGGAACGUAGUGGGAGAGCCAGUCAGUGGCCAGAGGAAGGCAAGAAAAAGGAAGAGCCCUGGCCAGCGGCUGGGCGAUGGGAGGGACGCAUCAACACUGGCAUGCACGGACAGGUGGAGACGCAGGUCGCCAACCUCGCUCUCCACCUGGGCAGUGAUAACUGCCACCUUCCCACUCCAGCUCACCCGCCGCUCUCCCUGAUUUGGGUUGCACUUCUUUUCUUCUCCCACCACCCUUUUUCUAAUCCAGCAAAUAUUCGCCUAUUUGCUGCAAGUACAAGUUUUGCUUUGCUAACUGGCGCCCCGCUUCUUGCAUUUAAUCUUUAACAUUUAUGUUUCUUUUUUCCUUGUUUUCUCCCCCCACCCCUUAAUUUAAAUAGGCGCAUGUUUCCUUUUUUAAGUUUUAACAUUUCUGGUCUCGAUCCCACGGCUCAUUACAAUAUUUUUGUGGAUGUGAUUUUGGCGGAUCCCAAUCACUGGAGGUUUCAAGGAGGCAAAUGGGUUCCUUGCGGCAAAGCGGACACCAAUGUGCAAGGAAAUCGGGUCUAUAUGCAUCCGGAUUCCCCCAACACUGGGGCUCACUGGAUGCGCCAAGAAAUCUCUUUUGGAAAAUUAAAACUUACGAACAACAAAGGAGCUUCAAAUAACAAUGGGCAGGUCAGUGGCUCAAGCGCUCGUGUUUUCUCUCUCUCUCUCACCCCUUCCUCCCUGAUAUCCAGUUCAUCAGUGUAAAGCAGCAUAUGGAACUGGAUACAUGUUUCUUUGCUUCAUUAAAAAGACUUAAAAAUUGUAUUUCCACCCUCCAAAUUUAUAUUAAAUCUGUAAAGUUGUUCUCAUUGGCAACACCUCCGUCGGCCCAAUUUUGGAGUGCCCGACCUUCCCAAGUACUAAUACUGAUUGAUUUUGAGAAGAAACCCCACAAGAUCUGCAGGUUGUGGAAAUCUUUGUUCCUCCUUACAGGAGGACUAGGAGAAGGGCCCUGAGGAUCGGGCGGUCGGCUUCCCCCUUUUUUCCGGUGCCCCGGCUUAUCUUCGCUCCCAGAGGUGCGAAAGCCGGUCUGCCUCAGCCAGCCAGCCGCCAGCCAGGCGAGUCCCGCGGUCAGUUAGCCUGGGAGGCGGGCUGCAGGCUGCCUCCGCCGGCCCGGGCGCGCAGCCGGGCGCACACAGCCACGCGCACAGCGACCGCGUUAACACGCCACCCGGCGCUCCCCUUUCUUCCCGCCGGACAGAUGGUGGUUUUACAGUCCUUGCACAAGUACCAGCCCCGCCUGCAUGUGGUGGAAGUGAACGAGGACGGCACGGAGGACACUAGCCAGCCCGGCCGCGUGCAGACGUUCACUUUCCCUGAGACUCAGUUCAUCGCCGUCACCGCCUACCAGAACACCGAUGUAAGGAGACCUAGGGGCUGGGGGCGAGGCGGGCGGCACAGACAUCUCUCCCACCCUCUCACAUUCUCCCGCCAUGCAAGGCUAGGGUACUAGCAGCGCUAACAUCAGCAACAGCUGGCUCCGCUGUGCGUUUUAAGGCCUAGGGCUCGAGGCCUGCCCACGGCACCUUUCCUAAAUACCAAGCCGGUGGGAAAAAGCUUUCUAUUUGUUUUCGUCGCUGGUCACCCGGGCCACCUUUGAGGUGGCCAGGAUUUCUAAAGACUCUUCUUUUGGGAGUUUUAAUUUGGGCUUUGAACUAGAACAGAUUAAAAUCUACUUUAAAAAAAAUUCUCUCUUUCCUUUAGAAAACAAGCAGAUUUCCCCGUGCAUUUUAUUCUUGGCAAGCUUUGGCAUCUAAAAAAAAAUUUCUCUCUCUCUCUCUUUUUUUCAUCUCAGAACUGAUGGCUGAAAUGAACAAACAUCACUGUUCUGGGAGAUCAAAAGAACAUACACAUUCAUAUAUGUGAAAACUACAAUAAAUCAAAUCACUGAGGGCUAUGGAUUGAGCUUUCUAGCACUUGAACCACUUCUGAUUUUUCAAGUUUGCAAAAACUGAUUUUAGUGGCUGAUUUGACUACUAGGAGUGAUAGGGGUUUUUGUGUUUGUUUCUUUUUUUUACUUAAAUGAUAAUAUCAGAAAUUAAAACAUGCUUUUAAAUCCAACUUGAUUUUAAAAUGCAACUUGUGGUUUCUCAGGUUGUGAGUCAGAAGCGACAAACGUUUUAAAAUAUAAAAUACUUAAAAUAGUCAACAUUUAGUGAUGAAUUCAAGUUCUCCUUAAAGAUUUUUGUCUGAACAAGUGCACUGUGUGUAACAAGCAUUUUUAAAAUGUGAGUUUGAACAAAUUUAGAAAACACAGGAGAGCUAAUUGAAAGCAGUUCUUUGGCUAUAGGUAUCAUUAAUUUAAACAUGUUCCUCAUAACUUUCAUGAUACUUUCUCUUUUUUUCCUUUCCACUCAAUCCCUCAAAUUUUUCAGUUAGGAAAACCUUGCUAUUUAAUAAAUUGUAGGCCUUAAGCCCCUGUAAAAGUGGCAGAUGAUAUAUUCUCAAACACCCAGUCUUCACGUAUAAAAGGUGAGAUAACAUUCAUUUUUUUUCUUUGCCAGAUUACACAACUGAAAAUAGAUCACAACCCUUUUGCAAAAGGAUUUCGGGAUAAUUAUGACACGUAAGUAAUUUUGUAUCUUCCUUUUCAAAUAGCUGUGGCAUUGGGCUUUAGGUCAAAGGUGGAUUAUUACGUACAAGGAUUUUGAAAGCUGGAAUGUGUGAAGACAAGGUUGUUUUAGAGGACUUCUUCUUUCUUCUUUCUUCUUCCUCUUCUUCUUCUUUUUUUUUUUUUUUGGUUGGCUCCCCUUCUCUCUGGUGACCUUGUGGCUUGGUACUUGUGUGGUUUUUGGUCAGAGGUUUCCUCCACCUAAUUUUAACUUUCCUGUGGAUUACAAAGUUGUUGGCGGGCCUCUGGGGCUGGCUGGCUGGCUGGGGAGGCUGCCCUGGUCUCGGGUGCGAGUACUGUAUGUGGCGCUGCAGAUGCUCAGCUCAGAUUGUCUAUGUCUGUCUGAAACGGGCAAUUCUGCCUAAAAGUGCAUGUGGCUCCUCUGGCAGUUGUUAACAGUCUCUUAGCAUAUGCGACUUUUAUUUACCCAUUUCCAAGUUUUGUAUAAUAGCAUUUCCUGUGCAAGUUGGCUACGGACUGAAUACAAAUGUGCACCCACCACAGGCGAGUUCAUGAGCAGAACCGCUGUUACGGUCAUUUUAGGCUUUCGGAAAGAUUCAGACGGUGUUGCUGUGUAUUAUUUAUAAGCUUCAAAAGAAAAACAUUUCCUCUUUGUUUUGUAUCUAGGUGUGUUUUAAUUAAACAUGCUGGUGCCCUUUUCUUUAGGCCUCCCUUACCUCCCUCUUUUCUAUCAAAAGGCUGUUCUCUGGGGGCAACAGUAGGUGUAAACUGAAUGCUUUCUGGGCUUGUUCUGCAAUUCUCACUCAGGGUCCAUAGUGCCUAAGAGUUCAGAUAGUGUUAUCAAUCUAAAUCUGGAUUGUGGGGUUCCCCCACGUUUUCUGACCAUAAAAGGAAAGGGUACAUACAUCUUAAUUUCGUGGCUUACAUUGAGCGCCGGAGACAGAGCUAAAAAGUUGAAGCUGCCUUUGACUAGCAUAGAUUAAAUGUGUGGAGAAAGAGACAAGUGACUGCCUCUAUUCCAUCUCCAAGCAGAUACCAAUCAUCCCUCCUGAUAUUUUCUAAUAAUUUAAAAGAGAGUCAUUGAUAUUACUGCCUAUAACCACCAUAUAUAUUCUUCAAAAAUACUCCAAAGGAAGCAAGUCUCAUCAAUAUGAUUCCCCAGAAUAAAAACUUGGCUACUCUAUUCCUCACAAUCUAAAAAGGUGUGCCCAGCACAGUGGAAAGUAUAUGGCUCAAGAGACUAGAGAUGUUAGAGGAGAGUCCUGUAGAUUUUGAGAUUUUAAUUCUGUUGUGAACAUCUGUUCAAAAGCAUUUUAUUUUGCACAAAUCAAUUCAGUAAUCCCAAGUGGGUGGGACCUGGAUAGGCAUCCAAACUGUAUCUUUUGCAGACUGCUUUUUUCUUUUUAAAAUAUUGUGGUGAUAAACAGAGAAGAUAUUUGCACCUUGCUAGUUAUGUUCCCUUCCUGCCUCCCUCUACUUCUCUUAUUUGAAACUGGAAUUCAAUUUCAGAAGGGAAAUUUUGUGCACUAAACAGAACGGACCUGAGCAGCCACAGCAAAACUCUCACAUGCCCCUCCUCCUCUGGCUGCCUUCUGUUGGAAAAGCCAGUCCUCUUUGAUCUUAAAUCACUUUAAAUCUUUCAUAAAAGCUUCUUUAUCUAUACACACACACACACACACACACACAAAAACCCUGAGAUUUUUAGGGGACAGAGAAGAGUUGAGUGGUUCAUGACACUCUUCCUUUCCCCUUUUACGUUGGUUACUUGGACAUGGCUCAAUUUUGGAGAAAGAGGGAGAAGUAUAAGGGUUCAUGGGGUACUAGGAGCUUGCUUGGCCACUCACCAGGGAAUCUCCUCCCCAAAGGAUUAAGGUCUGACAAGACUGAGGCUCUCCUUCAAAACAGUCUGUUGACUAAAGAUUAAAACAUUUAUGUGUGAGCUAAAUAAAAAGGGAGGCAUGUGUGCAUGUGUAUGAGAAAACACUUCUACCAAUCUUCAUCCAACCCUUGGUUUCCUCUCAAUUCUAAUGGGAUUUUCUAGGCCCAGGGCCUAAAGUUAAUCUUUGAUUAUUUUAUCUAAGGUAAUUCCCAACAACACAAUCACUGUCGGUGGUUGGGCAAGUUAUUUAACUUCCUUUUGCCUCAAUUUCCUCAUCGGUAAAGUGGGAUAAUAAAAGUUACCUAGCUCACAGUGCCUGGCAUAUAGUCGAGCUCCGUAAAGGUUAGCUAUUAUUAGUGGUCCAUUGCAUGGAGUAGGCUGAUAAGUGCACUGUAGGUUUGCCCCGAAGUUUCUGCGGGUAACGGACCAAAAGCUAGGAAAAGAAGGUCAGAGUAAAGAACACCUUUUCUCUUAAGAGAAUAUUUCUGAUUGAUGACUACUGUUUCAGAGUAGUAAUUCUUGUUUGUAUUAGUAGAGGUGGGAGUGAAAGUUUCACACAGGGGAAACAAUAGACACUAAGUACCUUGGAGGCUUCCAGCAGCAAACCUCGGGUUCCAGAACACGGGUGAAGGCCAGUCUUUCAUGAUUACUGCGUGCGCGGCUUUUUCCUAGGGGUUUCUGAAACAAUCUAGAAAAAGGAGAGAUAUCACCUGAACAAUCAAAUGGACACAGGAGGUCUUAAAAGGGUGGAGGAGUGAGUACCUUGCUUAGAAAUUUCACUCAUAAACUGACCGCAGAGGAAAGGCCCACUGGGCAAAGAGCAUCUUACUCCCUAGGUAAAUCUGCCUUAAUGUGCACACAUAUGUUGGAGAAGUGGGAUGAAAGUCCUUGCUUGUGCCCCUCUCUCAGUACCCCAGUACACUUGACGAGAGAGAGCAAGAGAAGAGGGAAGUCGUUCCCUUGAUGGUCUGUAUCUUGCUCAGGUCCCUGCAUAGACAGAUUGGCUCCUUUAUAAUUCCAUGAUUUAUUUUGGGAAUGAUAGAGGUCUGUGGCCUCUUGUAUUCUCCAGGAAAUCCUGGACUGCAAGUUUGUAGAUGGAGGGUGUGGGGGUGGGCGAAAAGUGGAGGUGGCCUUCCCUUCUGCCCCCACCCCCACCCCAAGGGACCUCCGCGCCACCCCUCGGCUCUCUCUCUCUCUCUCCCUACCCCGCAGGAUCUACACCGGCUGUGACAUGGACCGCCUGACCCCCUCGCCCAACGACUCGCCGCGCUCGCAGAUCGUGCCCGGGGCCCGCUACGCCAUGGCCGGCUCUUUCCUGCAGGACCAGUUCGUGAGCAACUACGCCAAGGCCCGCUUCCACCCGGGCGCGGGCGCGGGCCCCGGGCCGGGUACGGACCGCAGCGUCCCGCACACCAACGGGCUGCUGUCGCCGCAGCAGGCCGAGGACCCGGGCGCGCCCUCGCCGCAACGCUGGUUUGUGACGCCGGCCAACAACCGGCUGGACUUCGCGGCCUCGGCCUAUGACACGGCCACGGACUUCGCGGGCAACGCGGCCACGCUGCUCUCUUACGCGGCGGCGGGCGUGAAGGCGCUGCCGCUGCAGGCUGCAGGCUGCACUGGCCGCCCGCUCGGCUACUACGCCGACCCGUCGGGCUGGGGCGCCCGCAGCCCCCCGCAGUACUGCGGUACCAAGUCGGGCUCGGUGCUGCCCUGCUGGCCCAACAGCGCC